Molecule: ribosomal RNA, 253 nt
Filed under: uncultured bacterium
Lineage: Bacteria
Description: partial 16S ribosomal RNA
Rfam family: Bacterial small subunit ribosomal RNA
Source: RNAcentral
UACGUAGGGGGCUAGCGUUGUCCGGAAUCAUUGGGCGUAAAGAGCGUGUAGGCGGUCCGGUAAGUCCGCUGUGAAAGUCGGGGGCUCAACCCUCGAAUGCCGGUGGAUACUGUCGGGCUAGAGUGCGGAAGAGGCGAGUGGAAUUCCUGGUGUAGCGGUGAGAUGCGCAGAUAUCAGGAGGAACACCGAUUGCGAAGGCAGCUCGCUGGGACGUGACUGACGCUGAGACGCGAAAGCGUGGGGAGCAAACAGG